CGCAUGAAGCCUGGAUGCGUUGCACCGGGUUGGAUGAGUGGCGAACGGGUGAGUAACACGUGAGUAACCUGCCCCUGACUUCGGGAUAAGCCCGGGAAACUGGGUCUAAUACCGGAUACGACUGCCGGACGCAUGUCUGGUGGUGGAAAGUUUUUUCGGUUGGGGAUGGGCUCGCGGCCUAUCAGUUUGUUGGUGAGGUAAUGGCUCACCAAGACGACGACGGGUAGCCGGCCUGAGAGGGCGACCGGCCACACUGGGACUGAGACACGGCCCAGACUCCUACGGGAGGCAGCAGUGGGGAAUAUUGCACAAUGGGGGAAACCCUGAUGCAGCGACGCAGCGUGCGGGAUGACGGCCUUCGGGUUGUAAACCGCUUUCAGCAGGGAAGAAGCGCAAGUGACGGUACCUGCAGAAGAAGUACCGGCUAACUACGUGCCAGCAGCCGCGGUAAUACGUAGGGUACGAGCGUUGUCCGGAAUUAUUGGGCGUAAAGAGCUCGUAGGUGGUUGGUCACGUCUGCUGUGGAAACGCAACGCUUAACGUUGCGCGUGCAGUGGGUACGGGCUGACUAGAGUGCAGUAGGGGAGUCUGGAAUUCCUGGUGUAGCGGUG
RNAcentral lists this ribosomal RNA (611 nucleotides) under Brevibacterium sp. HPC331. RNAcentral describes it as "bacterial SSU rRNA". It matches the Rfam family "Bacterial small subunit ribosomal RNA", at positions 63 to 683 of the family's 1533-position model. Lineage: Bacteria; Bacillati; Actinomycetota; Actinomycetes; Micrococcales; Brevibacteriaceae. The record is from RNAcentral.